AGAAAAGUAAGCUAAAUUAAGCUAAUGGGUUCAUACCCCAUUAAUAGAGUUAAUAACAACUCUCUCUUCUA
Molecule: transfer RNA, 71 nt
Filed under: Pycnoscelus femapterus
Lineage: Eukaryota; Metazoa; Arthropoda; Insecta; Blattodea; Blaberidae
Description: tRNA-Met
Source: RNAcentral